Molecule: long non-coding RNA, 1170 nt
Filed under: Ananas comosus (pineapple)
Lineage: Eukaryota; Viridiplantae; Streptophyta; Magnoliopsida; Poales; Bromeliaceae
Description: long non-coding RNA (ACOM_LNC028665)
Source: RNAcentral
CAAUAAUCUUUUAAUUUUAAAAUUUGAACGUGUCAUUUAUUUUUAUAAAAUUUAAUCAAUAGUAUUUUAUAUAAUUUACAUAAUUAUAAGCUCAUUCAAAUCAAUUAGUUAAAACUUUAUUUCCAAAAAAGCCGUCGAAUUAUUUAAUUUGAAUAAAUUAAAUUCUGAAAGUUUAGAUAGUCAAUCAAAAUAUUUUAUAAUUCAAAUAAAUUCUUAUAUAUUAAUAUGUUUUUUAAGCUAGAACUUUAUUCCUUGGUUUGAUCUCUCUAGAAUAUAUCUGUUCAAGGCAUUCCUUUCUUUCUUUAUCAUCAAAAAAUGAUAGCCCAACCGACUGUUCCUAGCGCAAGUGGUAAAGAAUUUGGUGAUUGAUACCCGAAGUCCCAAGUUCGAAUUCUAGUUGAUUCAUAUUUUUAGCUAAAUUUAUUUCUAAAUAAAAUAAACGAAUCGAAUAACAUGCUAUCUAUCUCUUAAAAAAAAAAAAAAAAUGAUAGCCCAACACAUUAGACUAGAUCCACUACAAUGGAAAUGGAAAAAGCAGCACCUUCCCUUUGACCUCACCCACCCACCCACCACCACUCUCUAGUCUCUAGUGAUCCCUUUCCAAUCCACAUGGCACCAUGUCCACAAACCCCAAUCUCCCCAUCUUAACAAAAAUCCAAUGGGGUCCACCUACCCCAGCCACCCACACACCCAAUGACACAACUCACCUCCUCCACACCAUACAAAAUUGAAAACACUGCUCUUAGGAGUACCCUAUUAUCCGUCUUCUAAAAUACUGUUGAUGAGUUAGCAUAUUAAAUUCUAAACUCUAAAUUCUAAAUAUUAUAAUUAAAAUUUAAAUGUUAUAUAUAGAUAUAUGAAAUUAGACUGGAAUGCUAUUAAUAAUACUAAGUUAUUCAUGCUAUUAAUUUUUUAAUCCUUAAAUUGAAAAAUGUGCUGUUAGGAUGAUGUGGGCCCUCUAGGGUUGAGUGGGUGGUUGGUGGAAUAGUAUAAUCUAACGGGUAAAAAUAAUCAAAGGGUUAAAUCUACCGGUGAAAACUCGAUAAUAUGAAGCCCUUGGUAUUAUCGAUAGCAUUCCAGCCGGACUCUAGAUAUGUGUAUGUGUGUUUGAGAGAGACCAACAUAUUAACAGUAUUAUAAGGUAUAUGCUGUGGGGGAAUGGAAAGUAUU